Small nuclear RNA from Nannospalax galili (Upper Galilee mountains blind mole rat), 162 nucleotides. Its record names the gene U1. It matches the Rfam family "U1 spliceosomal RNA". Rfam says of the family: U1 is a small nuclear RNA (snRNA) component of the spliceosome (involved in pre-mRNA splicing). Its 5' end forms complementary base pairs with the 5' splice junction, thus defining the 5' donor site of an intron. There are significant differences in sequence and secondary structure between metazoan and yeast U1 snRNAs, the latter being much longer (568 nucleotides as compared to 164 nucleotides in human). Lineage: Eukaryota; Metazoa; Chordata; Mammalia; Rodentia; Spalacidae. The record is from Ensembl.
AUACUUACUUGACAGGGGAGACUACAUGAUUAGGAAGGUGUUUUUCCCAGGGCAAGGCUCAUCCAUUGCACUUGAGACAUGCUGACCCCUGUGAUUUCCCCAAAUGCAGGAAACUCAGUUGCAUAAUUUGUGGUAGUGGAGGACUGUGUUCAUGCUCUUUAA